UCCCGCAUAGCUCAGUUGGUAGAGCGCGACACUAGUACGUAUUACGUCUGCAAUGUCGAGGUCAGUCGUUCGAGUCGGCUUGUGGGAA
Non-coding RNA from Heliocybe sulcata, 88 nucleotides. NCBI's taxonomy places the organism in Eukaryota, Fungi, Basidiomycota, Agaricomycetes, Gloeophyllales, Gloeophyllaceae. The record is from the annotation of a GenBank genome assembly.